GGGCCCGCACAAGCGGUGGAGCAUGUGGUUUAAUUCGAUGCAACGCGAAGAACCUUACCAUCCCUUGACAUCCUUGAAAGAAAGUGGAGACAUUUUUGUGCCUUCGGGAAUCAAGUGACAGGUGCUGCAUGGCUGUCGUCAGCUCGUGUCGUGAGAUGUUGGGUUAAGUCCCGCAACGAGCGCAACCCUUGUCCUUAGUUGCCAGCAUUAGGUUGGGCACUCUAAGGAGACUGCCGGUGACAAACCGGAGGAAGUGGGGGACGACGUCAAGUCAUCAUGGCCCUUACGGGAUGGGCUACACACGUGCUACAAUGGUGGAUACAGAGGGAAGCAAGACGGCGACGUG
Molecule: ribosomal RNA, 346 nt
Filed under: uncultured bacterium
Lineage: Bacteria
Description: bacterial SSU rRNA
Rfam family: Bacterial small subunit ribosomal RNA
Source: RNAcentral